RNAcentral lists this unclassified non-coding RNA (395 nucleotides) under soil metagenome. Its description in RNAcentral is "partial contains 5.8S ribosomal RNA, internal transcribed spacer 2, and large subunit ribosomal RNA". The stretch from base 1 to 122 matches the Rfam family "5.8S ribosomal RNA", at positions 35 to 154 of the family's 154-position model. The record is from RNAcentral.
GAUGAAGAACGCAGCGAAAUGCGAUACUUGGUGUGAAUUGCAGAAUCCCGUGAACCAUCGAGUCUUUGAACGCAAGUUGCGCCCGAAGCCAUCAGGUUGAGGGCACGUCUGCCUGGGCGUCACAUAUCGUUGCCCAAUGCCUAUUGCAGUGCAAUAGGAAUUUCUAGGGCGAAUGAUGGCUUCCCGUGAGCGUUGUUGCCUCGCGGUUGGUUGAAAAUCGAGUCCUUGGUAGGGUGUGCCAUGGUAGAUGGUGGUCGAGUUAGAACGAUACCGAUCAUGUGCAUGCUCCCCAAAAUAUGGCCUCUAUCACCCACACGCGUCUUUUGACGCUCAUGACGAGACCUCAGGUCAGGCGGGGCUACCCGCUGAAUUUAAGCAUAUCAAUAAGCGGAGGA